AGUGAACGCUGGCGGCGUGCUUAACACAUGCAAGUCGAACGAGAACGGAUUAUAGCUUGCUAUAAUUGUCAGCUAAGUGGCGCACGGGUGAGUAAUGUAUAGGUAAUAUGCCUCUUACUAAGGGAUAACAAUUGGAAACGAUUGCUAAUACCUUAUAUUCCUUUUUAUCAAAAGAUAAAAAGGGAAAGAUUUAUUGGUAAGAGAUUAGCCUGUAUUGUAUCAGUUAGUUGGUGGGGUAAUGGCCUACCAAGACGAUGACGCAUAACUGGUUUGAGAGGAUGAGCAGUCACACUGGAACUGAGAACCGGUCCAGACUCCGACGGGAGGCAGCAGUGGGGAAUAUUGCACAAUGGACGAAAGUCUGAUGCAGCAACGCCGCGUGGAGGAUGACACAUUUCGGUGCGUAAACUCCUUUUAUAUAAGAAGAUAAUGACGGUAUUAUAUGAAUAAGCACCGGCUAACUCCGUGCCAGCCGCCGCGGUAA
This 484-nucleotide ribosomal RNA is filed under the name uncultured bacterium. RNAcentral describes it as "partial 16S ribosomal RNA". It matches the Rfam family "Bacterial small subunit ribosomal RNA", at positions 29 to 523 of the family's 1533-position model. The record is from RNAcentral.